UAAAGAUUCAUCGCUGAUAGAUAGGCAUGCGUUCCAUUAGGCAGUUGGCGGGGUAACGGCCCACCAAACCGACGAUGGAUAGGGGUUCUGAGAGGAAGGUCCCCCACAUUGGUACUGAGACACGGACCAAACUCCUACGGGAGGCAGCAGUGAGGAAUAUUGGUCAAUGGGCGUAAGCCUGAACCAGCCAAGUCGCGUGAGGGAUGAAGGUUCUAUGGAUCGUAAACCUCUUUUAUAAGGGAAUAAAGUGCGGGACGUGUCCCGUUUUGUAUGUACCUUAUGAAUAAGGAUCGGCUAACUCCGUGCCAGCAGCCGCGGUAAUACGGAGGAUCCGAGCGUUAUCCGGAUUUAUUGGGUUUAAAGGGUGCGUAGGCGGCCUUUUAAGUCAGCGGUGAAAGUCUGUGGCUCAACCAUAGAAUUGCCGUUGAAACUGGGAGGCUUGAGUAUGUUUGAGGCAGGCGGAAUGCGUGGUGUAGCGGUGAAAUGCUUAGAUAUCACGCAGAACCCCGAUUGCGAAGGCAGCCUGCCAAGCCAUGACUGACGCUGAUGCACGAAAGCGUGGGGAUCAAACAGGAUUAGAUACCCUGGUAGUCCACGCAGUAAACGAUGAUCACUAGCUGUUUGCGAUACAGUGUAA
RNAcentral lists this ribosomal RNA (637 nucleotides) under uncultured bacterium. Its description in RNAcentral is "bacterial SSU rRNA". It matches the Rfam family "Bacterial small subunit ribosomal RNA", at positions 202 to 842 of the family's 1533-position model. The record is from RNAcentral.